Molecule: ribosomal RNA, 301 nt
Filed under: uncultured bacterium
Lineage: Bacteria
Description: partial 16S ribosomal RNA
Rfam family: Bacterial small subunit ribosomal RNA
Source: RNAcentral
CAGCAGCCGCGGUAAUGCGAAGGGUGCAAGCGUUAAUCGGAAUUACUGGGCGUAAAGCGUGCGUAGGCGGUGAGUUAAGUCUGCUGUGAAAUCCCCGGGCUCAACCUGGGAAUGGCAGUGGAUACUGGCUCGCUAGAGUGUGUCAGAGGAUGGUGGAAUUCCCGGUGUAGCGGUGAAAUGCGUAGAGGUCGGGAGGAACAUCAGUGGCGAAGGCGGCCAUCUGGGACAACACUGACGCUGAGGCACGAAAGCGUGGGGAGCAAACAGGAUUAGAGACCCCCGUAGUCCCUGUCUCUUAUAC